AUUGAACGCUGGCGGCGUGCCUAACACAUGCAAGUCGAGCGGUAACAGGUGUAGCAAUACAUGCUGACGAGCGGCGAACGGGUGAGUAAUGCUUCGGAAUCUGCCCAUGUAGUGGGGAAUAACCAGCCGAAAGGUUGGCUAAUACCGCAUACGACCUACGGGUGAAAGCAGGGGAUCGCAAGACCUUGCGCUAUUGGAUGAGCCGAAGUCGGAUUAGCUUGUUGGUAGGGUAACGGCCUACCAAGGCGACGGAUCCGUAGCUGGUCUGAGAGGACGACCAGCCACACUGGGACUGAGACACGGCCCAGACUCCUACGGGAGGCAGCAGUGGGAAUAUUGGACAAUGGGGGCGAACCCUGAUCCAGCGACGCCGCGUGUGUG
RNAcentral lists this ribosomal RNA (381 nucleotides) under uncultured bacterium. Its description in RNAcentral is "bacterial SSU rRNA". It matches the Rfam family "Bacterial small subunit ribosomal RNA", at positions 30 to 407 of the family's 1533-position model. The record is from RNAcentral.